CGUUUUAUUUGCAAUCACACAAGAUGAGUCACAGAAGUCAGGCAAAGAGGGGAAAAUGGCUCCCCCAAAGGCUCAAAGAUCACACUACGAUCAGCCUGCCUGCCUGCAUGAGCUAUGCGAGGAACU
Alligator sinensis (Chinese alligator) is the source of this 126-nucleotide long non-coding RNA. RefSeq lists it as uncharacterized. Lineage: Eukaryota; Metazoa; Chordata; Crocodylia; Alligatoridae. The transcript is spliced from 3 exons. The record is from RefSeq and is a predicted model, not a curated record.